This 305-nucleotide ribosomal RNA is filed under the name uncultured bacterium. Its description in RNAcentral is "bacterial SSU rRNA". It matches the Rfam family "Bacterial small subunit ribosomal RNA", at positions 335 to 655 of the family's 1533-position model. The record is from RNAcentral.
UGCCUACGGGAGGCAGCAGUUGGGAAUAUUGGACAAUGGAGGAAACUCUGAUCCAGUGACGCCGCGUGAAGGAAGAAGGUCUUCGGAUUGUAAACUUAUUUUAUCAGGGAAGAAAAAAAUGACUGUACCUGAAGAAGAAGCACCGGCUAACUACGUGCCAGCAGCCGCGGUAAUACGUAGGGUGCAAGCGUUAUCCGGAUUUACUGGGUGUAAAGGGCGAGUAGACGGCGUUGCAAGUCAGAUGUGAAAGGCAGGGGCUUAACCCCUGAACUGCUUUGGAAACUGCCAUGCUAGAGAGCUGGAGG